Molecule: transfer RNA, 77 nt
Filed under: Verrucomicrobiota bacterium
Lineage: Bacteria; Pseudomonadati; Verrucomicrobiota
Also listed under: 1 other name
Description: Verrucomicrobia bacterium (microbial mat metagenome) tRNA-Pro
Rfam family: tRNA
About the family: Transfer RNA (tRNA) molecules are approximately 80 nucleotides in length. Their secondary structure includes four short double-helical elements and three loops (D, anti-codon, and T loops).
Source: RNAcentral
CGGGCUGUAGCGCAGCCUGGUAGCGCACUUGCCUGGGGGGCAAGGGGUCGUGGGUUCGAAUCCCGCCAGCCCGACCA